AUGGUCAUCCAAUCUUCUGCUCCCAUUGAAACAGCCAAACAAACCUCAGCACCAGCCUUCAGCCUUUGGAACUACCAAAGGAGAGGCCUGUCAGGAAAGAGAAGGAAGAAACCAUGUGGUCUGGAAUUGCAGUCAAGGAAGAGCACCCCUACUCUGGACCUCUGGUUCUCUUCAUCCUGGUCUCCAGGCCAAGGUCCCCAAGGAUGGCUGGCAGUGCAUGUGAGAAACCCAGCAAGCUCCUUGCAAGUGAAGAUCACACAGUAAACAUGGCGACAAAGUAGACCCCAAUCUCUAUGCAUCUUUUGAUCCCAGGAAUAUGUACUUAAGAGACAGAGCCACAUGCUUUGUCUGCUGUCACUGGAUGUUGUGGGAAAAGGCCUGGCUGUGGACUCAAAAGACCUACAUUUGACUUCAGACUCUCUGUGAGCCCAGCUUCCUUAGUAGAACAUCAGUAUAGAACUCCCCCCUUGUGUACUUCACGGGGUCUGGCUGGCGAGAACCAGCCAAGCCGGAAGGUGUUCCCAAGUGGACCUCUUGACCUUUAGGGUAUUGGCCUGGGGGAGGGGGUAGUGGAUGGGAAGGGUUUCAACAGCUGUGUUGGAAGCGGACUGAGGGAGCCAUGGGGAGGUGACUAGACUCUUGAUGGCCUGAGAGCUCUGCUGUGUUCUGGGUGUCAUCGGGCAGGCCUUGAGCCCCACGCUUUUGCAGAGAGCAGCACCUGCUUGCAAGGUUUGUGUGUGUGUUCAGUUGGGUUUCUACGUUGAGGCCACUUGGCACAGGUCAAAACUACCUUCACCUGGAGCUUGCCAACCAUAUUCCAAAUUCAAUUUUCUCAGCAACACUUCAAGACAGACCCUUUAUAUAUAAAUGUUGACUCCACAGAGACAGUAGUCUCUGAAUACUUACAGUAUGCAUUUAGUUUCUGUUUAAAGCUCAGGCAAGAACUUGAGGCCCUGUGGGCUCAUUCUGCUCCUGGUAGCCCAACAUGGGCUGAGCUAGCCUGCAGGAGCCCACCGCCUCCUCUCUGCCCCAGCUCUCCAAGAGAGAACUGGCUCCUCUCCUCUGCCCUGCUCACCAGUUUGUGCAAACCUAGGGCUUUGUGCAAAGCCCACAAAUAGCUGUACUAACAGCAGCCACCAUUUACUGUGUGCAUAUGUGUGCCAGGCACCCAGCUAAGCACCUUAAUGAUUGUAAUUCCAGGACAAUCCCUUGAGCAGCAACCUUACUGUACCUGCUUAAUGGAUGAGGGGACGGAGUCUUGGAA
RNAcentral lists this long non-coding RNA (1264 nucleotides) under Vulpes vulpes (red fox). RNAcentral's name for it is "lncRNA (ENSVVUG00000002117.1)". Lineage: Eukaryota; Metazoa; Chordata; Mammalia; Carnivora; Canidae. The record is from RNAcentral.